CGGAAGCUGGUCAAAAAUCAGGAAUUUGAUAAUAUUUUAAAUAAAAACGAAUUGAUUGCUUGGCAAUCAAUCAAAGAGGUUAUUGGCGGGUUGUUGGGUAGAAAUAGGUCUGACAGCUAUCAGAGAUCUGUUAACGCAAUGAUGAAUGCUUUUUCUAAAAUAGGCGUUUAUAUGUCGCUCAAAAUUCAUUACCUACAUUAUCAUCUAGACUACUUCGGUCAGCAACUAGCGACCGAAUCAGAUGAACAAGGUGAACAGUACCACCAAAUUGCAAUGCCAUUUGAAAUGAGUCUCCCGAUGCUGUAUUAGCGGAAAUUUGUUGGUGGAGCAAGAACUUGCAUUACGAUGAUGAAGGAGAAGAAAACACAGGAAGUGAACUACAAAAUUUGUCUACUUCAAAUACUGGUUCUACAGAGCAUCCACCAGAGCAGAAAAGACCUCGAACUAUAUAAUGUAGUUCAUUUUUAUAUAAACUAUGUAAAAAAAAAAUACAAAUUAAAUUUUAAAAAUUAAAUAUAUAUGAAAAAUUUUUACUCAAAAAA
Calliphora vicina (urban bluebottle blowfly) is the source of this 542-nucleotide long non-coding RNA. RefSeq lists it as uncharacterized. The transcript has 2 exons. Lineage: Eukaryota; Metazoa; Arthropoda; Insecta; Diptera; Calliphoridae. The record is from RefSeq and is a predicted model, not a curated record.